RNAcentral lists this non-coding RNA (64 nucleotides) under Mycobacterium sp. Lineage: Bacteria; Bacillati; Actinomycetota; Actinomycetes; Mycobacteriales; Mycobacteriaceae. The record is from RNAcentral. RNAcentral also lists the same sequence under 1 other name.
AUCCGGUCAGCACCUGACACCCGACGAGGCGCACCGUACCGGGCCAGCGACAAGACGGCGCAUG